AAAAUGAGAAAGAAAAGAAGAAUUAUGCUGAUAAAGAAAAAAGUCUUGGGCUAGUCAAACAGAAUAUGAAGAGCCGUCUAGAGGAGCAGUAAAAACAAACAGCUGCCCAUCACCCCAGCCGACGAGAGGGAGGAAGUCUUUGAUACAUCCCCUGAGGUCCCACAGUGAAAUAACCCAUCGUUUGUAGAGAACUCGCGUCCAAGAAAGGCUCUGGUUUUCGACGGAGAUGCCAGAAGUUUGCUGCGUGAGCAAAACAAAGCUCUCCAGACUUGCCCCCCCCCACCCCCC
Long non-coding RNA from Polyodon spathula (Mississippi paddlefish), 288 nucleotides. RefSeq lists it as uncharacterized. The transcript has 3 exons. The record is from RefSeq and is a predicted model, not a curated record. Lineage: Eukaryota; Metazoa; Chordata; Actinopteri; Acipenseriformes; Polyodontidae.